GACGAACGCUGGCGGCGUGCUUAACACAUGCAAGUCGAACGGAAAGGCCCUGCUUUUGUGGGGUGCUCGAGUGGCGAACGGGUGAGUAACACGUGAGUAACCUGCCCUUGACUUUGGGAUAACUUCAGGAAACUGGGGCUAAUACCGGAUAGGAGCUCCUGCUGCAUGGUGGGGGUUGGAAAGUUUCGGCGGUUGGGGAUGGACUCGCGGCUUAUCAGCUUGUUGGUGGGGUAGUGGCUUACCAAGGCUUUGACGGGUAGCCGGCCUGAGAGGGUGACCGGCCACAUUGGGACUGAGAUACGGCCCAGACUCCUACGGGAGGCAGCAGUGGGGAAUAUUGCACAAUGGGCGGAAGCCUGAUGCAGCAACGCCGCGUGCGGGAUGACGGCCUUCGGGUUGUAAACCGCUUUCGCCUGUGACGAAGCGUGAGUGACGGUAAUGGGUAAAGAAGCACCGGCUAACUACGUGCCAGCAGCCGCGGUGAUACGUAGGGUGCGAGCGUUGUCCGGAUUUAUUGGGCGUAAAGGGCUCGUAGGUGGUUGAUCGCGUCGGAAGUGUAAUCUUGGGGCUUAACCCUGAGCGUGCUUUCGAUACGGGUUGACUUGAGGAAGGUAGGGGAGAAUGGAAUUCCUGGUGGAGCGGUGGAAUGCGCAGAUAUCAGGAGGAACACCAGUGGCGAAGGCGGUUCUCUGGGCCUUUCCUGACGCUGAGGAGCGAAGGCGUGGGGAGCGAACAGGCUUAGAUACCCUGGUAGUCCACGCUGUAAACGGUGGGUACUAGGUGUGGGGUCCAUUCCACGGGUUCCGUGCCGUAGCUAACGCUUUAAGUACCCCGCCUGGGGAGUACGGCCGCAAGGCUAAAACUCAAAGGAAUUGACGGGGCCCCGCACAAGCGGCGGAGCAUGCGGAUUAAUUCGAUGCAACGCGUAGAACCUUACCUGGGUUUGACAUGGAUCGGGAGUGCUCAGAGAUGGGUGUGCCUCUUUUGGGGUCGGUUCACAGGUGGUGCAUGGCUGUCGUCAGCUCGUGUCGUGAGAUGUUGGGUUAAGUCCCGCAACGAGCGCAACCCUUGUUCACUGUUGCCAGCACGUUAUGGUGGGGACUCAGUGGAGACCGCCGGGGUCAACUCGGAGGAAGGUGGGGAUGACGUCAAGUCAUCAUGCCCCUUAUGUCCAGGGCUUCACGCAUGCUACAAUGGCUGGUACAGAGAGUGGCGAGCCUGUGAGGGUGAGCGAAUCUCGGAAAGCCGGUCUCAGUUCGGAUUGGGGUCUGCAACUCGACCUCAUGAAGUCGGAGUCGCUAGUAAUCGCAGAUCAGCAACGCUGCGGUGAAUACGUUCCCGGGGCU
RNAcentral lists this ribosomal RNA (1346 nucleotides) under uncultured bacterium. Its description in RNAcentral is "partial 16S ribosomal RNA". It matches the Rfam family "Bacterial small subunit ribosomal RNA", at positions 28 to 1381 of the family's 1533-position model. The record is from RNAcentral.